RNAcentral lists this unclassified non-coding RNA (242 nucleotides) under Glomus sp. RNAcentral describes it as "partial contains 5.8S ribosomal RNA and internal transcribed spacer 2". The stretch from base 1 to 65 matches the Rfam family "5.8S ribosomal RNA", at positions 84 to 154 of the family's 154-position model. The record is from RNAcentral. Lineage: Eukaryota; Fungi; Glomeromycota; Glomeromycetes; Glomerales; Glomeraceae.
GUGAAUCAUCAAAUUUUUGAACGCAAAUUGCACUCUCUUCGGAGAGUAUGCCUGUUUGAGGGUCAGCCUAUAAAAUAUCGACAUCGUUGCUGUUUAGCGGUGCCGUUUGUCGGAAAUUGGGCCAUCUUAAAUCCUUUUGAUUGAAGGGACUUAAAAUGUUCUUUUGGUCCCAUGAACGUUUCUUACAUAUAUAUCUUUACACGUUUAAGGUAUCGACUUUUACUCGACGUCACCAUCAUAUC